This is a long non-coding RNA of Gallus gallus (chicken), 2058 nucleotides long. RefSeq lists it as uncharacterized. NCBI's taxonomy places the organism in Eukaryota, Metazoa, Chordata, Aves, Galliformes, Phasianidae. The transcript is spliced from 4 exons. The record is from RefSeq and is a predicted model, not a curated record.
GUCCAGCCUGGAAGAGAAUGAGAGCACAUCAUUCAAGGCAGAGCACCUCCCCACCAGGAUAUCCUGGCUGGCUGCUGGUGGCCUGCGCUCUCUGCAAACUCCUUGGCCUCAAAUUCUUGCUUUAUGAAAGACCUGAAGCAUACUCCAGUGAUCAGUUAGUGGAGAAUUAACUUCUGGAACAGUCUCAAAGAUUUUUCUUGAAAAAGUUUGACAAAAUAUUUUCCUUCUCAUGAUUUUGUCAUAAUUUGUUCAUCGGAUGAGAAUGGCAAGAAAGGGAAGUGAGAUGGGUAUUUCAGCUAUCUUCUGGAGAUCAUCAAGCACAUGCCUUGUAAAAGAAGUCUUUUCAUUAUGUCAGCAAAGAAAUCUGCAAGAAAGAAAGUUACCUUUGACAGAGAUUUUAUGUCAGAACUUUGUAUUAACAUAUUGAAGCAUGGAUUCAGAAAAAAAAGAAAAGAAAAAUCAGGUAAACAACAUACAAAUUGAACACAGGUUCAUGAACUUUCUAUCUGAAAUGCCAUGCAGCUCUGCUGAUCUUUGAUAGUUUACUCCAGAACAUAGUUUGGUCCAAUCCACACAGAAUAUUUUUAUAGCUUUAAAAGUGGCCUCUAAAAGAGGGUGAAAAAACACAGUUGCUCUUUCUACCUCUGAUGGAAAAAUUAGGAAUUCAGUUUUAGAUUUUUUUUAUUUUCUUAUUUUUAUUUCCAUUAAAAGAAAAUACAAAAGGAGGAAAGACUUCUUCAUACAAACAAAAAAUAAGGUAAGGUGAGGUGAAGAUAGGCAGGGACAGAAUGUUAACAAUGUGGAGCUGGGUACUCUGGAGAAUAGUCAUUCCUCUUUUGAUUGAAGAUGAGGUGCCAGAGGUGGUUUGUUAUGGUGCCUUCUAAUAGCUGUAGUGAAAGACAGAUAAAAAUAUAUACACAUUAGUGGGAGCAACAACCAGAACACAUUAAUGAAGUAGAGGUGAUUGACCUAAGAGGUGUAAUAGGUAGUCUUUUUUUUUUCCCUAAAAGAGUCUAGCUUUUGAUAACUUAGUAAGAUGUUGUCUAGGUAAAAUUAUAUGCGAAACCUGUGUACCCUCAAGUGCUUGAUUAAUAUAUUCAUAGGGUCUGAAAAAACACAUAGGGCUAGAAGGUGGACAACAAUUAGGCAUCUAUGACCCUUUGGCGUAUCUCUAUACCAGAAUGGUAUCAAAACUAUGAGAUCAUAUGAAUACGUCAUGUAAAGACAGUUUGUGUUGUUCUGAAAACAGCCUUGGGGUUUUUUCGACAGUAGUAGAAAUACACAGUUAUAAUAAGCAAUAUCAAACAUCUGUGAUGGGAAACAAACUGAAGGCAUCAGAUCCAGAAGCAUCUAAGCUGGAUGACAGCCAAGUGAAUUGGGUUUCCUUCCCCUUCCUCCUCCCAGCCUUCCUUUCCCCUUCCCAUGCAAAAUUAAUCAAGGCAUUAUUUGUUGAGAUUUUCUUAAUGUAUAUGCUUUCUCAGUUAAUCAAGGCAUCAGUGGCUAAGGAAUCAAAGCAAAUUCAGACUAAAAUAGAUAAGAUUCUGAAUUAAUCAGAUUUAUCAACUUAUUAGGAGCAAAUAAGAGAAAAAAACUGGUCCAUAAAACAUCACUACUGGGGCAUACUAUGCCAGGGUUCUGGUGUUUGUUUCUGUUGCUUCAGUAUACUGCAUAUGAGUUAAGUUGGAGAUGGCAUGGAUUGCUUGCUUGUAUCCGUUUCUGGAACCAUCAAUGUAUAUGUUACCUUUGUAGUAUGAGUGAUAUCAUGUUGCAUCGCUAUUCAAUAUUGACAGACACUCUUGGGUACCAAAAUAUUUUUGCUAAUGUUUCUACUGCCAUUGAAAGGAGUUUCAAUAAUAAGUGUUUAAAGCAGAGCAGUAAUGCUAGACUGUGCUAUAAAAGUUCAUGUCCAGUAAAUCAACAGAGAUACUCCAAGGAAUGAUUAAAUAAUCUAGUGGAAUUUGCAGACUGUUUUCCCUGGGAAUGUCCUCAGUUUAUUACACAUAGUUGUUGAUACAGGAAGAACUCUUCCAAAGGUGGGUGCUUUCUAUGAGUCUCUAG